AGUUUGAUCAUGGCUCAGAUUGAACGCUGGCGGCAGGCUUAACACAUGCAAGUCGAGCGGGGAAAGGUAGCUUGCUACCUUACCUAGCGGCGGACGGGUGAGUAAUGCUUAGGAAUCUGCCUAUUAGUGGGGGACAACAUUCCGAAAGGAAUGCUAAUACCGCAUACGCCCUACGGGGGAAAGCAGGGGAUCUUCGGACCUUGCGCUAAUAGAUGAGCCUAAGUCAGAUUAGCUAGUUGGUGGGGUAAAGGCCUACCAAGGCGACGAUCUGUAGCGGGUCUGAGAGGAUGAUCCGCCACACUGGGACUGAGACACGGCCCAGACUCCUACGGGAGGCAGCAGUGGGGAAUAUUGGACAAUGGGCGCAAGCCUGAUCCAGCCAUGCCGCGUGUGUGAAGAAGGCCUUUUGGUUGUAAAGCACUUUAAGCGAGGAGGAGGCUACUUGGAUUAAUACUCUAGGAUAGUGGACGUUACUCGCAGAAUAAGCACCGGCUAACUCUGUGCCAGCAGCCGCGGUAAUACAGAGGGUGCGAGCGUUAAUCGGAUUUACUGGGCGUAAAGCGUGCGUAGGCGGCUUUUUAAGUCGGUUGUGAAAUCCCUGAGCUUAACUUAGGAAUUGCAUUCGAUACUGGGAAGCUAGAGUAUGGGAGAGGAUGGUAGAAUUCCAGUGUAGCGGUGAAAUGCGUAGAGAUCUGGAGGAAUACCGAUGGCGAAGCAGCCAUCUGGGCCUAAUACUGACGCUGAGGUACGAAAGCAUGGGGAGCAAACAGGAUUAGAUACCCUGGUAGUCCAUGCCGUAACGAUGUCUACUAGCCGUUGGGGC
RNAcentral lists this ribosomal RNA (823 nucleotides) under uncultured bacterium. RNAcentral describes it as "bacterial SSU rRNA". It matches the Rfam family "Bacterial small subunit ribosomal RNA", at positions 10 to 829 of the family's 1533-position model. The record is from RNAcentral.